RNAcentral lists this small RNA (2217 nucleotides) under Pongo abelii (Sumatran orangutan). Its description in RNAcentral is "retained intron". The record is from RNAcentral. Lineage: Eukaryota; Metazoa; Chordata; Mammalia; Primates; Hominidae.
GGGAGCAGUGAGGUGACUUUGGCAGCUAACAGGCCACUAGUAUCCUACUAAAGCUUUUGUCUGGAUAGGAGCAACAUUGCAUGUUUACAGUCUUGCAGAAGCUCCGGCAGGGAGGAUGAUACAGUCAGACAAAGGAGCAGAUCCACCAGACAAGAAGGACAUGAAGCUUUCUACAGCCACCAAUCCGCAGAAUGGCCUCUCCCAGAUCCUGAGGCUUGUGCUGCAAGAGCUGAGUCUGUUCUACAGCAGAGACGUGAAUGGAGUGUGUCUCUUGUACAAUCUCCUCCACUCGCCGUGGCUUCAGGCUCUGCUAAAGAUUUAUGACUGCCUCCAGGAAUUUAAAGAAAAGAAACUAGUUCCUGCCACACUACAUGCACAGGUGUUAUCCUAUGAGGUAGUGGAGUUAUUACGUGAAACCGCUACUUCCCCUGAGAUCCAAGAGCUGAGACAAAUGCUCCAGGCUCCACACUUUAAGGGAGCCACCAUCAAGCGCCAUGAGAUGACAGGGGACAUCUUGGUGGCCAGGGUCAUCCACGGUGGGCUGGCGGAGAAAAGUGGGUUGCUAUAUGCUGGAGACAAACUGGUAGAAGUGAAUGGAGUUUCAGUUGAGGGACUGGACCCUGAACAAGUGAUCCAUAUUCUGGCCAUGUCUCGAGGCACAAUCAUGUUCAAGGUGGUUCCAGUCUCUGACCCUCCUGUGAAUAGCCAGAAGAUGGUGUACGUCCGUGCCAUGACUGAGUACUGGCCCCAGGAGGAUCCCGACAUCCCCUGCAUGGACGCUGGAUUGCCUUUCCAGAAGGGGGACAUCCUCCAGAUUGUGGACCAGAAUGAUGCCCUCUGGUGGCAGGCCCGAAAAAUCUCAGACCCUGCUACCUGUGCUGGGCUUGUCCCUUCUAACCACCUUCUGAAGAGAAGAUGACAUGAAGAUUGAUGAGAAAUGUGUGGAAGCAGGUAACAUUUUCUCUUGAUUGCUUUGCUGUUAGAAGAAAUAUGAAGCAUGUCAAUUAUAGAUUAUCUGAAGCAGAGGUGUCCAAAGGGGCCAUGGGCCUUUCCUCUGGGAGAAAUGUGUAAAAUGACCCUCCACCCCCAUCUUUCUUCUGUAGUUCUGGCACUUGGAAGGAGAAGCUGUGGUAAUGUCUCCAGGUUCCCACUGAUCUACUAGAAAAUGCUCUAGAAAGCAGUGCUUUGUAAAUGAUCUCAGGAACACUUAGUAACACUCAGCAUAUCAGAUGGUAGAACACUUGGAAACCUCUGGUCUUUGUGAAACACCAUAAAAUAUUGCAGUAUCAAAUUUUUAAAGAGCAAUAUAUAUAUUUUAUUAUUAAGUUUGAUGCCAUCUUCUGGUGGAUUCUAGUAUAGAUAAAUAGUAGUAGUUUCCAAAAUGAUGAGACAUGCAUGAAAGUUUUUUACAUUUCUAUUCUUUAAUUUUUUUGUAAAUUGGGGAAAGAUUUUUCAAAUUUAGUGGCAGAACUAAGAUUGGCUUAAGAAUCACUAGGAUUUUGUUAGGAGACCAGUUGGAGAACCUUAGUCUGACAGGUGAAUCUGUCUUUGCUUUACAGGCUAGUCUAGUUUUUAGAAGUGAGAGAACAAUGUAAAAUUUUAAAACAGUGGGCAUUUCAAUGAUUCACAUAUAUUUUCCAGAGCAACAGCAGAAUACUGCUGACAUUAUGUUUAUUUUACCACGUAUACGUUUUUUUAAACUUGCAGUAAUAUUCAUUUCCUUUCUACAAUUUCCAUUAUAUUUUUAUUAGGUAACAAUUCACAUAGUUCAAAAUAACUACAAAGGUAUAUUCAGUAAGAGGUUCCUCUCUUUCCAUGUUCUCCUACUCAUUUUUCUUUCUUGGGGCAAUAAAUGUUAAUAGUUUAUUCAGUAUCACCCCAGACAUAUUCUGUGCACAUAAAAGCAGUGAUGUGGCCGGGCGCGGUGGCUCACACCUGUAAUCCUAGCACUUUGGGAGGCCGAGGUGGGCGGAUCACGAGGUCAGCUGAUUGAGACCAUCCUGCCUAACACAGUGAAAGCCUGUCUCUACUAAAAAAAAUAGAAAAAAAAUUAGCCAGGCGUGGUGGCGGGCGCCUGUAAUCCCAGCUACUCAGGAGGCUGAGGCAGGAGAAUGGCGUGAACCCGGAAGGCGGAGCUUGCAGUGAGCCGAGAUUGCGCCACUGCACUCCAGCCUGGGAGACAGAGUGAGACUCCAAAAAAAAAAAAAAAAAAAAAAA